CGUAGGAGACGAGCGUUAUCCGGAUUUACUGGGCGUAAAGCGUGUGCAGGCGGUUCGGCAAGUUGGAUGUGAAAUCUCCCGGCUCAACUGGGAGGGGUCGUUCAAAACUACCGAACUUGAGGUCAUCAGAGGAAGGUGGAAUUCCGGGUGUAGUGGUGAAAUGCGUAGAUAUCCGGAGGAACACCAGUGGCGAAGGCGGCCUUCUGGGAUGAUCCUGACGCUCAGACACGAAAGCUAGGGGAGCGAACGGGAUUAGAGACCCCGGUAGUCCUAGCUGUAAACGAUGUAGACUUGGCGUCGGAGGGUUCAAAACCUUCGGUGUCGUAGCUAACGCGAUAAGCCUACCGCCUGGGGACUACGGCCGCAAGGUUA
RNAcentral lists this ribosomal RNA (372 nucleotides) under uncultured organism. Its description in RNAcentral is "bacterial SSU rRNA". It matches the Rfam family "Bacterial small subunit ribosomal RNA", at positions 526 to 896 of the family's 1533-position model. The record is from RNAcentral.